UACGGAGGGUGCAAGCGUUACUCGGAAUCACUGGGCGUAAAGAGAAUGUAGGCGGAUAGAAAAGUCAGAAGUGAAAUCCAAUAGCUCAACUAUUGAACUGCUUUUGAAACUUUCUAUCUAGAAUAUGGGAGAGGUAGAUGGAAUUUCUGGUGUAGGGGUAAAAUCCGUAGAGAUCAGAAGGAAUACCGAUUGCGAAGGCGAUCUACUGGAACAUUAUUGACGCUGAGAUUCGAAAGCGUGGGGAGCAAAC
RNAcentral lists this ribosomal RNA (250 nucleotides) under uncultured bacterium. RNAcentral's name for it is "partial 16S ribosomal RNA". It matches the Rfam family "Bacterial small subunit ribosomal RNA", at positions 524 to 773 of the family's 1533-position model. The record is from RNAcentral.